RNAcentral lists this long non-coding RNA (357 nucleotides) under Bos taurus (domestic cattle). RNAcentral's name for it is "long non-coding RNA NONBTAT007318". The record is from RNAcentral. Lineage: Eukaryota; Metazoa; Chordata; Mammalia; Artiodactyla; Bovidae.
CUCAACAUAAUCAAGUACACUGCAGCCUCGUCAUAACAUUUUCACAAUAACUGAAAUUUUAUAGUAUGUGGGUCUGUUUUGGACAAAUCAAAGGGCUUUAGUCAGCAGUACUGAACAGACUUCAACACAGCACAGUGUCACCUGUGAUGUGUCCCUCAGAAUGGACCUAACUAACUGCAGAUUUAAAUUGAGGCUACAGUGUACUCACUGUAUUUGUGUUAUAGUUUAUAUUGUAUUAUGUUGGGAGUGGGGGAAUUACUGGACAAUAGCAGGAACAUGAUCAUCUACAUAUACUUGGUCUUCAUUCCAGUUUGACUUUACAUAUUAGCUUAUAUGCAGAUAUUCUGCAAACUCAUC